UUUUUUUUUUUUCCCAGGCUCUCGCGGGUUUCCCCUGCCAGGGAAUCCACUCGCUGUAGUUUUCUAGGGCUCUGGUCCCAGUCCUUUCUGAAGCGCGCUUGCAGGCUGUCUUCCUCAGUCGCCCUCUCCCUGGGUGCUGUUUUGCUGGGCAGCAUCCCAUGCUAGGCUCGGCAGACAUUCUGGCGGUUGGGUUCGGCCCUUACAGCGCUAACACCUGCAGAGUCGAGGCUCCUGCCAAAAGGCAGAAAGCAAAGGAGGAAAAAAUUCAUUGUCAUAAUAGCGAAAAUGAUAAACCUCAGCUGUUUAAGAGAAGAAUGUCUGAGUAGCUGUUGAUUAUCUCCCAUAAUCACAAAACAACUUUUUUUUAAAAAGAAUUUGCACUGUCUGUUAAAACGCGGUCAUUGUUUUGCUUUCAAAUCGAACUUCACGACAGUUAGCAACUUCAAGAACGCUUCCAAAUGGAUAAAUCUUUCCAGAAGGUUUUUCUGUGGACCUAAAUUUUCAUUUCUCUGGGAUAAAUGUCCAGGAGUGUGAUUGCUGGGUCAUAUGGUGUCACAUGCCAUUCUUCUGAUUUUCAUGAAUAUCCUCUAAAAGGCAGCUAAGCACUCGCUGUCUUCUUCCUUUUGCCUCAUCAAGCACGGGGGACGCUGGAAGGAAGAGUAUGGAAGCUUUGUAAAUUUUCCUUGUUAAAAACAAGCACCAUCUUCAUACCUGCUGAAAUCUAAUUCUCAUCCAGAGGGAUGUGAGGAAUAAAGGGGGCAGUGAUACCAACAGCGGGCGUAGACAGCCCAUCCAUCCCACGCAGGUAAUGAAGCUGAUGCUUAGAGAGGUUGAGUAAUCCACCCAUGUCUCUCUGACCCAGGUCUGACCACCAUACUAUUGCCUGCAGAUGAAGAGGAGCAACAUAUUGUAUCCUGUGUUGCUCAAGAGAGCAGAAUUAGGACUUAGAAUAGCCUUCUAAGAAUUGCUCUGUGCCACCAAAUGGGUGGCAGACUUCUAGACAAGUUUUCUAAACUUGUCAGCCUCAACUACAAGUGAGCUGGUGAGAGAAAACAAACAUCACUAUCCAGGGGCUUUUGCUGGACUUACUGAAUGUAACAGAGAUCGGAUUGGAUUGUCUCUAAUGUCUGUUUCACGAAUAGAGUUCUGUAAAUAGUC
This 1158-nucleotide long non-coding RNA is filed under the name Homo sapiens (human). Its description in RNAcentral is "lncRNA bladder and prostate cancer suppressor, hnRNPK interacting". The record is from RNAcentral. Lineage: Eukaryota; Metazoa; Chordata; Mammalia; Primates; Hominidae.